Molecule: ribosomal RNA, 253 nt
Filed under: uncultured bacterium
Lineage: Bacteria
Description: partial 16S ribosomal RNA
Rfam family: Bacterial small subunit ribosomal RNA
Source: RNAcentral
UACGGGGGGUGCGAGCGUUGUCCGGAAUCACUGGGCGUAAAGGGCGCGUAGGUGGCCUGAUAAGGGUGUGGUGAAAGUCCGGGGCUCAACCCCGGAUCUGCCGUGCCGACUGUUGGGCUGGAGUACUGUAGGGGCAGGCGGAAUUCCGGGUGUAGCGGUGGAAUGCGUAGAGAUCCGGAGGAAGACCGGUGGCGAAGGCGGCCUGCUGGGCAGUAGCUGACACUGAGGCGCGAAAGCGUGGGGAGCAAACAGG